CGAAAUAGCUCAAUUGGUAGAGCAACUGACUUGUAAUCAGUAGGUUCCGGGUUCAAGUCCUGGCUUCGGC
Molecule: transfer RNA, 70 nt
Filed under: bovine gut metagenome
Rfam family: tRNA
About the family: Transfer RNA (tRNA) molecules are approximately 80 nucleotides in length. Their secondary structure includes four short double-helical elements and three loops (D, anti-codon, and T loops). Further hydrogen bonds mediate the characteristic L-shaped molecular structure. tRNAs have two regions of fundamental functional importance: the anti-codon, which is responsible for specific mRNA codon recognition, and the 3' end, to which the tRNAs corresponding amino acid is attached (by aminoacyl-tRNA synthetases). tRNAs cope with the degeneracy of the genetic code in two manners: having more than one tRNA (with a specific anti-codon) for a particular amino acid; and 'wobble' base-pairing, i.e. permitting non-standard base-pairing at the 3rd anti-codon position.
Source: RNAcentral